Molecule: long non-coding RNA, 571 nt
Filed under: Daphnia pulicaria
Lineage: Eukaryota; Metazoa; Arthropoda; Branchiopoda; Diplostraca; Daphniidae
Description: uncharacterized LOC124350415, transcript variant X2
Source: RNAcentral
AUCAGUUCACCACAGUUCAGUUUCGAAUAAGAGACAAAGAAGAUUACAAAGAGCCCUGCUGAAAGAACACUAUUGGGAAACGAAGGACGUAGCAAAAGUCGUGGUUGCACGAAAAAUAGCACAACCUAUAAAAUUAUAAAAAUGUGGUCGUCCUUCCAUCUACGGUCGCGUCUCUUUAUAGAAUCGCUCAGUACACAUUCCCUGCUGUUUGGCAGAUUUUACGCCUGAACCAGCCAUAAAAACCAUAAGAUAUGCCAGGCUUGUGCUGAAUGUGUCAUCUACAGCACUGUCUCAGCAGUAUCGGAUAAACAGCAUCCGGCAUCCCUUUUGAUUGGAGAAACAACCGAUGUCGUCCAAAUUACGGAUCUCUUCUUAUUCCCCUUUCUUUAAAUGUCCUCGUGUGCACCCAUGUGAGUGUGGGGGUAUUCACGAGGAUGCCCUUUUCCCUAUUCGGCCUGGUGGAUUCAACUCUUCAGAGGACGGAGCAACUGUGGAUGCCUUGCCGUAUUUCCCAGGCUUAAAGCUCGUCAACGGCAACUGGAGCACCUGGUGAAUGGAAUUCGGGUCCAGC